CAGCCAAACACAUCCUACAAGUCUGUGCUCACUCCAGUAUCAGGAAACACCUUAAGGUGUUGAUAUAUAUUGCUAAUAUGGAAGGGAAGUGGCCCGGGUUUGUUGGACCAUGGAUUCGUUACUUCCUCUUCUCUCUCUUUUGUGUUGUUGUCCUGUUGAUUUAUCUGAACUCCUACCUUUAUAGAGAUCUGAGAGAAAGACAUGAACGAAUGAGCAGGGCACUGACACGCAUGAGAUCUACUGUUGUGACAAACAUCAAGUCUCAGGAGGAUAUUUAUGAAGAUGUUGAAGAUGGACUUUGAGCUGUUCAGCUGAGCUGAAGCUGUAACUGACAAAGCAAAACGAAUCAAAGCAUUAUUUCACAGAACCAAAAAACAGUUGAUUUGCGAUAAACACCUCUUGCAGGACAGAGGUUACAGUUGUAUAAAAGGUUGCAUGGAAAAUUGCACUAUACUGUAACUGGAAUGUCAACUUCUUCAUGCAAUGAGACAUAGAAACAUAUGUGCUCAGUAAAUUGCAUUAUAAUUCUAUGACUCUGUCAUUGACAAAGAUACCAAGAUUACUGUAUGUAGUAGAUUGCAAUAGAGAAUAGCCUCAUUCAGUCACUCAGGUAGAAUAAAUGCAAAUUAGGCUCAGUGUAAUUGACUUGACUUAACUCUCUCAUUCUCCACCUCAAUCUGGUUUGUGAUGAGCGUUCUGACGCAUAUGGCUGCCGUGCAUCACCCAAGUGAUUACCACAUUGGUAGUGUGAGGUUUUCCACUUACACUGAGAAGAAGCGCUUAAAUGCAAUGUGUUGUUGUUGUUGUUGUUGUUGUUGUUGUUGUUGUUGUCAAUUGGCCCUAUGAGAACAUGAACUUCAAAAGUUCUACCUUAGUCUGCACAGUUUGAAAUUACUUUUUUGCAUUCAAUUAACCAAAACUGAUAUGUGAAACAGGACUCGUCAGAUAUAAUGUCCAAAAAUGG
Sardina pilchardus (European sardine) is the source of this 964-nucleotide long non-coding RNA. RefSeq lists it as uncharacterized. Lineage: Eukaryota; Metazoa; Chordata; Actinopteri; Clupeiformes; Clupeidae. The record is from RefSeq and is a predicted model, not a curated record. The transcript is spliced from 3 exons.